CGUGUUUGACUCUCUCAUCAGUUGCCAUGUGACAUGGAGAAAGAGUGGAGGAAAAGGAUUCUACAAUGGACCACUGCAAUUUCUGAUGAGUUCAAAGAUUGAACAAAAUACAACCAAGAACAAUUCCAAUAAUUUCUUGUUGGAAAAGGGAUAUGUCACUUGAAAGGAUAAAAACAGAAAAUGAUUUGAACUAUGGAUAUGGAAAAGUCCUUCCAAGAAUAGAAGAAAAGCCUGAAGACAAUCCUAAGGUCUUUAUGAAUGAAUUUGCAUCAAUGGUACAAGAAGUUGGUGCAUCUUUGGCAAGAAUUUCUACCAAAUUGGUUAAGGCAAAAGAGCUCUUCCCUGGGAAUCAGUUGGUCAAGAAGGUAGAUGAAGUGUUGGGAAAGAUGGCAAGAGAACCAUCAAUUCUCAGCCAAGAUGAAGAAAUAUUUGGAUCAGAGGAUUUUUUGAAUGCCAUAGCUCAAAUUGAGAAGGAAUUGAUGGAGGCAAGUGAAGCAGAAAAAAAGAAAAUAGGAAAUGAGAAGGAAUAUGAUAUAAGGAAGGCAUUCAGUUUGGGUUGCAACUUAACUCCCCCAACUCCAACAACUGAAGCACAGAUUAAUGUUGCAGCCACAACUUCAACAACAACUGAUGCAAAUGUUUCUUCUAAGCCAGAAGAGGAAAGAGUUGGAGGUUCAAAUUCUGAAGAACCACAAGAUGGGGGAAAUUCAAAAAAAGCAUUAAACAAAGGUGAAGGUUCAAAAUCUGAAGCAUUAGAAGAAAAUGUUGAAGGAAAUUCAAAGAGUGCAUCUGAUUCAAAAGUUGGUGAUCCCAAGACACCAACUGAAAAUAGGGAAGCUGCUGGAGAUAUUUCUACAAUCUUGAAAUCUCCAGCAUGUUCAAGUAUGGAAGAUAUCCUUGAUAAAUCAAACAAGAAAGGAGGAAGCAUGGGGUAAACAUGGAAGACCUAUCUUGUUAGAAAAUAUAUAAUUUUGAAUGGACAUGUAGAAUAAAUUUGGUUAUAACGUGUAAUUAUUUUGGACAGUUUUUGUUUAUGAAGUUAGUAAUGGAUAUGUACUAUAAAAUCAGAAGGGAAUAUUUUGCUUUAGGGUAGGAAUGCACAAUUUAAGAUAUGUAAAUUAUGUAUUUUAAUUUAAAUGUCUUAGUAAUAUUUUAAGUGUUUAUUGUUCAAAAAAGGAGAAUAAUGUUUUUUUUAUAUUAAUUACUCUUCAUUACUAACCAUGAUUAAUAUUUCAGAGAAGACAAGAAGAAACAGAUAUAUGCUUCAAAUGUGAAGGAAAGUGACAGAGAGAAGACUUUGGAAAGAAAAAAAUCAAGAGAAGCUGAGAAGGCAAAAACUGAGAUUGCAAAGGAAAAAGAGAUAAGGUAUUACUAUUUGUUCUUUAUAUAAAUUAUUUGUUCAUUAUUAAAAAAAUUCAUAUUUGUAUUAAUAUAUGGUCACAUUAACUAGGCCACAAAGGGAAAUCCCAAAUGUUCCUCUUGCUUUCCGAUCUCCAUACAUGGUCAAGUACAAGGAUUUGUUCAAAGAUGAAGACACAAUGAACAAACUUGUAACAGACUAUGCUUAUAGU
Chenopodium quinoa (quinoa) is the source of this 1571-nucleotide RNA transcript. RefSeq lists it as uncharacterized. The record is from RefSeq and is a predicted model, not a curated record. NCBI's taxonomy places the organism in Eukaryota, Viridiplantae, Streptophyta, Magnoliopsida, Caryophyllales, Amaranthaceae. The transcript has 8 exons.